AAUUUUUUUAGCAAAAAAAUAAAGAUUAAAUUUGGCACGGGAUAAAUAAGGAAGAAAAAAACCUAAAUUAUAUAAGUACACUAGUUAGCCUAACAACCACCAUAGUCAAAGGUAUAAAAUUUAUAUAGCGUCCAGUUUUUUUUUUCUUCAUCGUUGAAUUCUUGUCCACCUUUUUAAAAAGUUGAAUUGAUACUCAAGUUUUUAGAUAACUUCGUAUGCAUACACUUUUUUUUUCUUCUUUACCGUUGUUUUCUUCUUUUUUGUGCAGAGUUACUCUUUCUUUUUCUUAGUUACAAAAUGAG
RNAcentral lists this long non-coding RNA (302 nucleotides) under Nicotiana benthamiana. RNAcentral's name for it is "long non-coding RNA (NBEN_LNC025941)". The record is from RNAcentral. Lineage: Eukaryota; Viridiplantae; Streptophyta; Magnoliopsida; Solanales; Solanaceae.